CCCCGACGAAAAUCCACGAUGAUCUUGACGGAAUUUGCUUGAUCUUCCUCUUUCUUCUCUUCUUCUUCUCCUUCUUCUCUUCUCAAGCCCUAGCCUUCACUCUCUUAAAAAUGGAUAAAAUGAUCCAAGGAUCAGCUCUAUACAACAAUAUAAUCCCAAAAGAAAUGGCUAGGGAAAAGACUAAAAUGCCCUUAAUGAUUUCCGGACGGAUUUCCUUGUCAACUGCCCAACUUUCAAAAGGCAUAUCUCACUCAUACGAACUCGGAAUCGAGUAAACUCAGUGGCGUUGGAAAGAUCGUUCCAUGAACUUUACAACCAUAACCGGAACCCCACCUAACUCAUCCUGAGCUAGAAUUUAUGGCUGUUCAAAGUUGGCCAAAAAUUCACAUUUUCCAUACUUAGCCAAAAUUUCCCAGAUUUUCAAAUCCUUUCCAAAAAUGAAAAUUUUCAAAUUCUUAGCCUCUCCUUAGC
This 471-nucleotide long non-coding RNA is filed under the name Solanum tuberosum (potato). RNAcentral's name for it is "long non-coding RNA (STUB_LNC009450)". The record is from RNAcentral. Lineage: Eukaryota; Viridiplantae; Streptophyta; Magnoliopsida; Solanales; Solanaceae.